This 75-nucleotide transfer RNA is filed under the name Bacteroidales bacterium. RNAcentral's name for it is "tRNA-Val". It matches the Rfam family "tRNA". From Rfam's summary of the family: Transfer RNA (tRNA) molecules are approximately 80 nucleotides in length. Their secondary structure includes four short double-helical elements and three loops (D, anti-codon, and T loops). Further hydrogen bonds mediate the characteristic L-shaped molecular structure. tRNAs have two regions of fundamental functional importance: the anti-codon, which is responsible for specific mRNA codon recognition, and the 3' end, to which the tRNAs corresponding amino acid is attached (by aminoacyl-tRNA synthetases). tRNAs cope with the degeneracy of the genetic code in two manners: having more than one tRNA (with a specific anti-codon) for a particular amino acid; and 'wobble' base-pairing, i.e. permitting non-standard base-pairing at the 3rd anti-codon position. Lineage: Bacteria; Pseudomonadati; Bacteroidota; Bacteroidia; Bacteroidales. The record is from RNAcentral.
GGUCUGUUAGCUCAGUUGGUUCAGAGCACUUCCUUCACACGGAAGAGGUCAACAGUUCGAAUCUGCUACAGACCA